Orcinus orca (killer whale) is the source of this 976-nucleotide long non-coding RNA. RefSeq lists it as uncharacterized. The transcript has 4 exons. Lineage: Eukaryota; Metazoa; Chordata; Mammalia; Artiodactyla; Delphinidae. The record is from RefSeq and is a predicted model, not a curated record.
ACGCGCAGGCUCCGGACGCGCAGGCUCAGCGGCCAUGACUCACGGGCCCAGCCGCUCCGCGGCAUGUGGGAUCUUUCCGGACCGGGGCACGAACCCACGUCCCCUGCAUCGGCAGGCGGACUCUCAACCACUGCGCCACCAGGGAAGCCCCAAAAGACUUUAAAAAUCUGUACUCAAGAUGCUGAAAGUAGAGACCAAAAACAACACCUCCUUGAAAAUGGAUUUGAUUCACCCUCAAGACCACUGCAAAUAUUACCAGUUUGGUUAGAGCCAGCUGAGUCGGGAAGAACAUAAAGAUUUCAGAUACAAAUGUCAGUGGGUCGUGUAUGUGCAUGAUUGGAGAAGGAGAAAGAACUGAUGCAGUUGAUUCCACGGCACAUGAGAUAUCAUCUUAGCUCCUUUACACACAGCCUCAAAUGAACCUCCCAACGAUCCUUAUUCGGGAAUGCUUCCCAUCCUAUAGAAGAAGAACCUGAGACUCAAGAGAUAAUUUGUUCAAGACCUCAGUUCUGAAGUGAUACAACAGGGAUUCCUUCCCAGCCUUGUCUGAGUGCUGGUAAAGGCUUUCUUACUCGUGUCCUGGAAGUUGACGUCAUUGCCGUUAUACGCGUUCUUCAGUUUGUUGGUCAUCACACGGAGAGCCAUGAUCUGCUGCCUGAUGAACGUGUCGGGCCGCGUGAUGUCCACGUCCACCUCGGGGUUGUUGAUCUGGUUGGUCAGCCCAUCGUUCAUGAUCUCAGGCAAAAGGUGGAAGCAACCCGAGUAUCUUCUGCCAGAUGAAUGGAUAAACAAAUGUGGCCUAUACAUAUAACAACUCAGCCUUAAAAAGGAAGGACAUUCUGACACAUGCUGACAUUGAUGAAUCUUAAAGACAUCACGCUAAGUGAAGUACGCCGAUCACAGAGGGACGUAUGUUGUAUAAUUUCACUUAUGUAAGGUACUUGAAAUAGUCAAAUUCAUAGAGACAGAAAGUAGA